This 482-nucleotide ribosomal RNA is filed under the name uncultured bacterium. RNAcentral describes it as "partial 16S ribosomal RNA". It matches the Rfam family "Bacterial small subunit ribosomal RNA", at positions 28 to 523 of the family's 1533-position model. The record is from RNAcentral.
GACGAACGCUGGCGGCGUGCCUAACACAUGCAAGUCGAACGAUGAAGCCGGAGCUUGCUCCGGUGGAUUAGUGGCGAACGGGUGAGUAACACGUGAGCAAUCUGCCCUUGACUCUGGGAUAACUGCGGGAAACUGUAGCUAAUACCGGAUACGACACCUUGGGGCAUCCCAGGGUGUGGAAAGAAUUUCGGUCAAGGAUGAGCUCGCGGCCUAUCAGCUAGUUGGUGAGGUAUGGCUCACCAAGGCGACGACGGGUAGCCGGCCUGAGAGGGUGACCGGCCACACUGGAACUGAGACACGGUCCAGACUCCUACGGGAGGCAGCAGUGGGGAAUAUUGAACAAUGGGCGAAAGCCUGAUGCAGCAACGCCGCGUGAGGGAUGAAGGCCUUCGGGUUGUAAACCUCUUUUAGCAGGGAAGAAGCGAAAGUGACGGUACCUGCAGAAAAAGCACCGGCUAACUACGUGCCAGCCGCCGCCGUAA